UUUACAGUUCAUGCACAAUCACAAAUGCAGCACAUCAAUCAAUUUCUUCCAACCAGCGAAUCAAGAAAUCUUGGAGUGGAGAAUCAUUCUGAAAGUAGACCAACUCCAGGACAACAUCACAGCAGUGGUCGGAAAAAUGCAGCAAGCCAAGCUGACUUUCAAAAGAUGAUUCGUUAUCUGUUUCUUCAGAGGGGAGGCAGUUUGGGAGAUGGGAAUUAGGAGGAUGCUACAGUUACACAGGGCAAAUUUCAGCAGCUCAGUUUCAAACUUGCAACUAACAAUGAGUACUACUGGUCAGGGUGGAAGACCAGCUGACGUACCAGUUUUGCCAGGUUGAAGGACCAGCUUAAACCAGCUAAGACAGCCAACCAACUUAGCCAAGGUGGUAUAUGCUGGUGGGUCAGCUGGUCUUCCCACCUGACCAGCUAAGACUAGCUACAAAGUGGCCAAAACCUCUGUAAAACAAUUCUGCUACACCAGCCUGACCAGCUGAAACCAUACUGGGAGUAUUCAUAUUCAUAUCGAUUUGCAUUUACACAUAAAAUAGGUAACAUACAGUGCUGUGCAAAAGUCUUAGGCCACCAUCACCAGCUUUGUUGUUUUAGCAAAAUUUUAAUGUCCAUCCAUAUUUAUUUUUCACUCUUUUUAUUAAGAUACAAACAGAAAAUACAGGAAAUAUGUACACAAAAUUAAAAACAAAACAAUUUUCAGAACUAAAUGUCAUCUUCAGGCAUCAGUCAGUAUUUAGUGUGACUUC
Molecule: long non-coding RNA, 757 nt
Organism: Misgurnus anguillicaudatus (oriental weatherfish)
Lineage: Eukaryota; Metazoa; Chordata; Actinopteri; Cypriniformes; Cobitidae
Source: RefSeq, a predicted model, not a curated record